AGAGACUUAGGAUAAUUUAAACCAAGGGCCUUCAAAGCCCUAAAUAGGGGCUUUAACCCCCUAGACUCUG
Molecule: transfer RNA, 70 nt
Filed under: Sceloporus maculosus
Lineage: Eukaryota; Metazoa; Chordata; Lepidosauria; Squamata; Phrynosomatidae
Description: tRNA-Trp
Rfam family: tRNA
About the family: Transfer RNA (tRNA) molecules are approximately 80 nucleotides in length. Their secondary structure includes four short double-helical elements and three loops (D, anti-codon, and T loops). Further hydrogen bonds mediate the characteristic L-shaped molecular structure. tRNAs have two regions of fundamental functional importance: the anti-codon, which is responsible for specific mRNA codon recognition, and the 3' end, to which the tRNAs corresponding amino acid is attached (by aminoacyl-tRNA synthetases). tRNAs cope with the degeneracy of the genetic code in two manners: having more than one tRNA (with a specific anti-codon) for a particular amino acid; and 'wobble' base-pairing, i.e. permitting non-standard base-pairing at the 3rd anti-codon position.
Source: RNAcentral